RNAcentral lists this microRNA precursor (74 nucleotides) under Myotis brandtii (Brandt's bat). RNAcentral describes it as "mir-9193 microRNA precursor family". It matches the Rfam family "mir-9193 microRNA precursor family". The record is from Rfam by way of RNAcentral. Lineage: Eukaryota; Metazoa; Chordata; Mammalia; Chiroptera; Vespertilionidae.
CUCAGGGUGGAGGGGUCCCUCAGCCCGGAUUGUGAGAGGGUGCAGGCCAGGCCGAGAGACCCCACCGGGGCAUG